This 253-nucleotide ribosomal RNA is filed under the name uncultured bacterium. RNAcentral's name for it is "partial 16S ribosomal RNA". It matches the Rfam family "Bacterial small subunit ribosomal RNA", at positions 524 to 776 of the family's 1533-position model. The record is from RNAcentral.
UACGUAGGCAGCAAGCGUUGUUCGGAGUUACUGGGCGUAAAGGGCGCGUAGGCGGCCAACUAAGUCAGACGUGAAAUCCCUCGGCUCAACCGGGGAACUGCGUCUGAUACUGGAUGGCUUGAAUUCGGGAGAGGGAUGCGGAAUUCCAGGUGUAGCGGUGAAAUGCGUAGAUAUCUGGAGGAACACCGGUGGCGAAGGCGGCAUCCUGGACCGAGAUUGACGCUGAUGCGCGAAAGCCAGGGGAGCAAACGGG